AUUGAACGCUGGCGGCAGGCCUAACACAUGCAAGUCGAGCGGAGCGGCGGACGGGUGAGUAAUGCCUAGGAAUCUGCCUGGUAGUGGGGGAUAACGUCCGGAAACGGGCGCUCAUACCGCAUACUAUCAGAUGAGCCUAGUUCGGGUUAGCUAGUUGGUGGGGUAAAGGCCUAUCAAGGCGAAGCUCCGUAACUGGUCUGAGAGGAUGAUCAGUCACACUGGAAAUUAGACACGUUCCAGACUCCUACGGGAGGAAGCAGUGGGGAAUAUUGGACAAUGGGCGAAAGCCUGAACCAGCCAUGCCGCGUGUGUGAAGAAGGUCUUCGGAUUGUAAAGCACUUUAAGUUGGGAGGCGUUACCAACAGAAUAAGCACCGGCUAACUUCGUGCCAGCAGCCGCGGUAAUUC
RNAcentral lists this ribosomal RNA (407 nucleotides) under uncultured bacterium. RNAcentral describes it as "partial 16S ribosomal RNA". It matches the Rfam family "Bacterial small subunit ribosomal RNA", at positions 30 to 526 of the family's 1533-position model. The record is from RNAcentral.